GGAGGGUGCAAGCGUUAUCCGGAUUCACUGGGUUUAAAGGGUGCGUAGGUGGGCAGGUAAGUCAGUGGUGAAAUCUUUGGGCUUAACCCGAAAACUGCCAUUGGUACUAUUUGUCUUGAAUAUUGUGGAGGUCAGCGGAAUAUGUCAUGUAGCGGUGAAAUGCUUAGAUAUGACAUAGAACACCAAUUGCGAAGGCAGCUGGCUACACAUAUAUUGACACUGAUGCACGAAAGCGUGGGGAUCAAACAGGAUUAGAUACCCUGGUAGUCCACGCCCUAAACGAUGGAUACAGCAGCCGCGGUAAUACCC
This 309-nucleotide ribosomal RNA is filed under the name uncultured maize rhizosphere bacterium c15-2_45. RNAcentral describes it as "bacterial SSU rRNA". It matches the Rfam family "Bacterial small subunit ribosomal RNA", at positions 527 to 837 of the family's 1533-position model. The record is from RNAcentral.